UACAGAGGGGGCAAGGCGUUGUUCGGAAUUACUGGGCGUAAAGGGCGCGUAGGCGGCCUUCUAAGUCGAACGUGAAAUCCCCGGGCUCAACCCGGGAACUGCGUCCGAUACUGGAGGGCUUGAAUCCGGGGAGAGGGAUGUGGAAUUCCAGGUGGUAGCGGUGAAAUGCGUAGAUAUCUGGAGGAACACCGGUGGCGAAGGCGGCAUCCUGGACCGGCAUUGACGCUGAGGCGCGAAAGCCAGGGGAGCAAACGGG
Molecule: ribosomal RNA, 256 nt
Filed under: uncultured bacterium
Lineage: Bacteria
Description: partial 16S ribosomal RNA
Rfam family: Bacterial small subunit ribosomal RNA
Source: RNAcentral